Molecule: long non-coding RNA, 2242 nt
Organism: Coturnix japonica (Japanese quail)
Lineage: Eukaryota; Metazoa; Chordata; Aves; Galliformes; Phasianidae
Source: Ensembl
AACCAGACCCAUAGGGAUCAAUGGGGAGCCCCAGCCCCAUAGCCAGCCCCAUUGGGAUCAAUGGGGAGUCCCAGCCCCACAGCCAGCCCCAUAGGGAUCAAUGGGAGCCCCAGCCCCACAACCAGCCCCAUAGGGAUCUAUGGGGAGCCCCAGCCCCACAGCCAGCCCCAUAGGGAUCAAUGGGGAGCCCCAGCCUCACAGCCAGCCCCAUAGGGAUCAAUGGGGAGCCCCAGCCUCACAGCCAGCCCCAUAGGGAUCAAUGGGGAGCCCCAGCCCCACAACCAGCCCCAUAGGGAUCAAUGGGGAGCCCCAGCCCCACAACCAGGCCCAUAGGGAUCAAUGGGGAGGCCCAGCCCCACAGCCAGCCCCAUAGGGAUCAAUGGGGAGCCCCAGCCCCACAGCCAGCCCCAUAGGGAUCUAUGGGGAGCCCCAGCCCCACAGCCAGCCCCAUAGGGAUCAAUGGGAGCCCCAGCCCCACAUCGCUCUCCUGCCCCAUAGAGCAUCCCAUAGACGAGCCCCACCGCCCCCCAUCCCCCUCCCUAUGGGGCAGCGAGUCUAUGGGGUCUCUAUGGGCCGAAUCCCCACUGAGAGCUAUGGGGGCUGUGGAGCUGAGGGCCCCUAUGGGGCUCUAUGGGGUUCUAUGGGGCACUAUGGGGUUCUAUGGGGCACUAUGGGGCACUAUGGGGCUCUAUGGAGCUCUAUGGGGUUCUAUGGAGCUCUAUGGGGCUCUAUGGAGCUCUAUGGGGUUCUAUGGGGCUCUAUGGGGCUCUAUGGAGCUCUAUGAAGCUCUAUGGGAUUCUAUGGGGUUCUAUGGAGCUCGAUGGGGUUCUAUGGGGCUCUAAGGGGCUCUAUGGGGUUCUAUGGAGCUCUAUGGGGUUCUAUGGGGCUCUAUGGAGCUCUAUGGGGUUCUAUGGGGCGCUAUGGGGUUCUAUGGGGUGCUAUGGGGUUCUAUGGGGCACUAUGGGGCGCCGUGCAUCUCUAUGGGGCCGGCCCACAACUCCUCACCUCUCCGCACGGCGUUGGAGGACUCCGGAGCACAGAGACGAGCGGGACAGAGCGACGCCGGAAAGGGCGGAGUCACGUAGGGGGGAUAGCGCAAGGAGGAGGAGCCGAAACAGGAAACGCGAGACCAGAGCGGCGCCAAUGAUCAUAGAGAUGGAGGGACAGAGCGCCGCACCCGGUCCUCCACGGCGCUCCAUUGGGCGGAAAACCCAUAUGGGACCCCAUAGAGAGACCCCAUAGAGAAACAUAGGGACACAUAGGGACACAUAGGGACCCAUAGAGACACAUAGGGACCCAUAGAGACAUAUAGGGACGCAUACAGACACAUAGGGACCCAUAGAGACCCAUAGAGACCCAUAGAGACCCUUAGAGACUCAUAGAGACACAUAGGGACCCAUAGGGACCCAUAGGGACCCAUAGAGACACAUAGGGACCCAUAGAGACACAUAGGGACCCAUAGAGACCCAUAGGGACCCAUAGGGACACAUAGGGACCCAUAGAGACACAUAGGGACCCAUAGGGACCCCAUAGAGACCCAUGGAGACCCAUAGAGACCCCAAAGGGACCCAUAGAGUCCCAUAGGGACCCAUAGAGACACAUAGAGACUCAUAGGGACCCAUAGGGACCCAUAGAGACACAUAGGGACACAUAGGGACACAUAGAGACCCAUAGAGACCCAUAGAGACACAUAGGGACCCAUAGAGACCCAUAGAGACCCAUAGAGACACAUAGAGGCCCAUAGGGACCCAUAGAGACCCAUAGAGACCCAUAGGGACCCAUAGGGACACAUAGAGACCCACAGGGACCCAUAGAGACCCAUAGAGACCCAUAGAGACACAUAGGGAACCAUAGGGACCCAUAGAGACCCAUAGGGAGCCAUAGAGACCCAUAGGGACCCAUAGAGACCCAUAGGGACCCAUAGGGACCCCAUAGGGACCCAUAGAGACCCAUAGGGACACAUAGGGACCCAUAGAGGCCCAUAGAGACCCAUAGGGACCCCAUAGGGACCCAUAGAGACACAUAGGGACCCAUAGGGGCCCAUAGGGACACAUAGAGACCCAUAGGGACCCAUAGAGACCCAUAGAGACACAUAGAGACGCAUAGAGACCCAUAGGGACCCAUAGAGACCCAUAGAGACACAUAGGGACCCCAUAGGGACCCAUAGAGACCCAUAGAGACACAUAGGGACCCAUAGAGACCCAUAGGGACACAUACAGACCCAUAGGGACCCAUAGGGACC